Molecule: ribosomal RNA, 425 nt
Filed under: uncultured bacterium
Lineage: Bacteria
Description: partial 16S ribosomal RNA
Rfam family: Bacterial small subunit ribosomal RNA
Source: RNAcentral
GUGAGGAAUUUUGCGCAAUGGGGGCAACCCUGACGCAGCGACGCCGCGUGGAGGACGAAGUCUUUCGGGAUGUAAACUCCUGUCAGUGGGGACGAUAAUGACGGUACCCACAGAGGAAGCACCGGCUAACUCCGUGCCAGCAGCCGCGGUAAGACGGAGGGUGCAAGCGUUGUUCGGAAUUACUGGGCGUAAAGCGUAUGUAGGCGGCAAGUUAAGUUCAAUGUUAAAGCCCACGGCUCAACCGAGGAGAUGCAUUGAAUACUGGCUAGCUAGAGGGUGUUAGAGGAAGACGGAAUUCCCAGUGUAGCGGUGAAAUGCGUAGAUAUUGGGAGGAACAUCGGUAGCGAAAGCGGUCUUCUGGGACACACCUGACGCUGAGGUACGAAAGCGUGGGGAGCAAACGGGAUUAGAAACCCGAGUAGUCC